RNAcentral lists this ribosomal RNA (450 nucleotides) under uncultured bacterium. Its description in RNAcentral is "partial 16S ribosomal RNA". It matches the Rfam family "Bacterial small subunit ribosomal RNA", at positions 29 to 523 of the family's 1533-position model. The record is from RNAcentral.
AGCGAACGCUGGCGGCAGGCUUAACACAUGCAAGUCGAGCGGGCACCUUCGGGCGUCAGCGGCGGACGGGUGAGUAACGCGUGGGAACGUGCCUUCUGGUUCGGAAUAACCCUGGGAAACUAGGGCUAAUACCGGAUACGCCCUUUUGGGGAAAGGUUUACUGCCGGAAGAUCGGCCCGCGUCUGAUUAGCUAGUUGGUGGGGUAACGGCCUACCAAGGCGACGAUCAGUAGCUGGUCUGAGAGGAUGAUCAGCCACACUGGGACUGAGACACGGCCCAGACUCCUACGGGAGGCAGCAGUGGGGAAUAUUGGACAAUGGGCGCAAGCCUGAUCCAGCCAUGCCGCGUGAGUGAUGAGGCCUUAGGGUUGUAAGGCUCUUUUAUCCGGGACGAUAAUGACGGUACCGGAGGAAUAAGCCCCGGCUAACUUCGUGCCAGCAGCCGCCGUAA